UUCUUGCUCAGGGUUUAC
Molecule: microRNA, 18 nt
Filed under: Tribolium castaneum (red flour beetle)
Lineage: Eukaryota; Metazoa; Arthropoda; Insecta; Coleoptera; Tenebrionidae
Description: tca-miR-3811a-5-5p
Source: miRBase by way of RNAcentral